Molecule: ribosomal RNA, 254 nt
Filed under: uncultured bacterium
Lineage: Bacteria
Description: partial 16S ribosomal RNA
Rfam family: Bacterial small subunit ribosomal RNA
Source: RNAcentral
UACGGUAGGGUGCGAGCGUUGUCCGGAAUUAUUGGGCGUAAAGAGCUCGUAGGCGGUCUGUCACGUCUGCUGUGAAAACUCGGGGCUUAACCCCGGGCCUGCAGUGGGUACGGGCAGACUAGAGUGCGGUAGGGGAGACUGGAAUUCCUGGUGUAGCGGUGAAAUGCGCAGAUAUCAGGAGGAACACCGGUGGCGAAGGCGGGUCUCUGGGCCGUAACUGACGCUGAGGAGCGAAAGCGUGGGGAGCGAACAGG